UCUUGGGCCCCCCCUGAUAUACCUUGCACCUACUCGGACAUAUUGAACUAAACUCAAAAUGGAAUCGGGCGAACUCUUUACUUCAAUAUCAGUGUACUCUCAUCAUUUGAAACAAAAUGUAUGUGGAACACGAGCGAAAUAUCGCGAGGGUCGUAAAGAUACCGCCGUGAAAGUUUACACAGUUAAUCAGGAAUCAAUAUAUCUUUUAAUUACCAAUGUUCCUGCAUUAGGAGGUGCUGAAGAAUUACGUGCUCUUUGUGAUCAGUAUGGUAUUAUUGAUGAUUUUAAACCACUUGAUGAUUAUCCAUGUGAAGAGUUUACUGAAGUUUAUUUAGCUAAGUACAAAUCUUUUCCAUCUGCAAGAUUAGCGAAAAAGCAUUUGGAUGAUCACUCAUUUUUAGGUGGAUUACUACAUGUAUGUUACGCUCCAGAGUUUGAAACUGUAUCAGAAACAAGACUGAAAUUGCAAGAACGCCGGAAAUAUAUAGCCUGGAAAACUAAGACAGUAGGAAGGCAAGGGCAAUCAUCAGCAUCUCAGCCUAUGACAAACAGGAAUCAAAAUACCAAAAAAAUUGCUGGAAAACAGACAGGGUCAGGACCAUGUAACAAUAUAGAACCAGUUACGUAUAUUUGGGCUGGAAAAGAAUAUACUGUGUUUCCACAGUGCACUCAGAACAAGGAGAAGAUGCAGGAUAUUGUAGGUCAAAAAUUGGAGAGUCCAUCUGGCUUGUUUGUACCACGCCAGUUGAAAGACAAAUUAACUGGUGAACAAAAUAUUAUUAACAUUAAUAAUACUACAAAUCAGGCAACACAAUCAUUUUCUUUGCCGUAUGUGGAUGAUUCAUCAUAUUUAAAUACUGUGUCUCAUGUAAGAGAAAAGAUUUCAAAUGUUUCUGUCCCUAAUGUGAGGGUCAGCUUGAAAAGGAAGAGAAGACUUUGACAGUGGUAGAUUUCUUAAUCAUAAGAUGAACAAUGCGUCCAAAUUGUUAUUUUAACAAAGAUUUUGUAUAUGUGCUUUGUACAGUUAUGUAAUAUCCAUUUCAUGUUCUUGGUGUGAGCAAGGUUAUUGAAAAUAUUUCAAGCAUUGCCAUGACAGAAUACAAGUAAGGCUUUUUGAAAAAAUCAUGUAA
This is an unclassified non-coding RNA of Stegodyphus dumicola, 1130 nucleotides long. Lineage: Eukaryota; Metazoa; Arthropoda; Arachnida; Araneae; Eresidae. The record is from RefSeq and is a predicted model, not a curated record.